ACCCAUGUCUUUUGCGCACUUGUUGUUUCCUGGGCGGGUUCGCCUGCCACCAGGACCAAACCAUAAACCUUUUUUUAUUGCAAUCAGCGUCAGUAUAACAAUGUAAUUAUUACAACUUUCAACAACGGAUCUCUUGGUUCUGGCAUCGAUGAAGAACGCAGCGAAAUGCGAUACGUAGUGUGAAUUGCAGAAUUCAGUGAAUCAUCGAAUCUUUGAACGCACAUUGCGCCCUUUGGUAUUCCAAAGGGCAUGCCUGUUCGAGCGUCAUUUGUACCCUCAAGCUUUGCUUGGUGUUGGGCGCUUGUCUCUCCUCUUUUUGGGGGAGACUCGCCUUAAAACGAUUGGCAGCCGGCCUACUGGUUUCGGAGCGCAGCACAUUUUUGCGCUUUCCACCAGCAAAAGAGGACGGCAAUCCAUCAAGUCUACAUUAUCACUUUUGACCUCGGAUCAGGUA
Molecule: ribosomal RNA, 454 nt
Filed under: Curvularia homomorpha
Lineage: Eukaryota; Fungi; Ascomycota; Dothideomycetes; Pleosporales; Pleosporaceae
Description: eukaryotic LSU rRNA
Rfam family: 5.8S ribosomal RNA (bases 114-267)
Source: RNAcentral